CAAUAGCGUAUAUUAAAGUUGUUGCAGUUAAAAAGCUCGUAGUUGGAUUUCUGGUCGGAAGCUCCUGUCCUCUGAUGAGCGUACAAGUGCGUCCUACCAUCCUUCUGUUAACCUUUAAGGCUUUCGCGGCUUUCUAGGGGCUCAGAUAUUUUACCUUGAGAAAAUUAGAGUGUUUCGGGCAGGCUAGCGCCGGAAUACAUUAGCAUGGAAUAAUGGAAUAGGACUUUUGCCUCUUCUGUUGGUCAUGAGGCUCGAGUAAUGAUUAAUAGGGAUAGUUGGGGGCAUUAGUACUUAACUGUCAGAGGUGAAAUUCUCGGAUUUGUUAAAGACUAACUUAUGCGAAAGCAUUUGCCAAGGAUGUUUNCAUUA
This 369-nucleotide ribosomal RNA is filed under the name uncultured eukaryote. Its description in RNAcentral is "partial 18S ribosomal RNA". It matches the Rfam family "Eukaryotic small subunit ribosomal RNA", at positions 592 to 975 of the family's 1831-position model. The record is from RNAcentral.